RNAcentral lists this long non-coding RNA (1337 nucleotides) under Anas platyrhynchos platyrhynchos (common mallard). RNAcentral's name for it is "lncRNA (ENSAPLG00000019938.1)". Lineage: Eukaryota; Metazoa; Chordata; Aves; Anseriformes; Anatidae. The record is from RNAcentral.
GUCGCCAGCUGGUUUUUUUUUCUCUUCCCCCCCCCCCGGCCCCUGACCCCCUCCUUGAGGAAGGGGGGGCUGUGAUUUAAUAGGGUGAUGCCCCCCCACCCCACCCCGAUCCCUGUGACUCCUUCAGGGGGGUUUUUUGGGGGGGGGGGAGCUGCAGAGGGGUGUUGGUGGGUUUGGUUUUGUUUUUUUGUUUUUUUUUUUUAGUUUUCAAAUCGAAUCUUGCUUAAAAAAAGAAAAAAAAAGACAAAAAGAAAAAAAAAAAAAGGAAAACAGGUUGAAGGUUUUUUAUUAAUUUAAAAAUAAUAAAAAAAAAAAAAUCAGUUUUUUAACAGCAGCUGUCCCCGACCUCUCUCUGUGCUACGAGGGGGUGACCUUGGGGAUUUGGGGACACCCAGGGGGGACUUGGGGACACCCAUGGGGGCUGGUCCCUGUAGGAUCUGAUCUCUGGGGGAUCCUGUCCCUGUAGGGUCUGGUUCCUGGGGGAUCUCCCGGGGGUCUCCCAGCCCCACCAGGCGCUGUGGGAUCGGUGCCAUCCGGAGCCAGCACGUGUCCCUGUGACCGCUGUCCCCAAAAGCUGGGGAUCGGGGCUGGCACCGCUGGGUUUUCCUGCUGUUCCCAGUGUUUUUAGGCAAACCCCACUCUCAGGAUGGGGUUUCCCAAACAUCCCCUCUCGCAGACACAGCCAGACCCCUGCCAGCACCCCAAGGGCUCUUUGGGGACCCCCUGGGGGACACCAGCAAGGGCUGGGGCACGCAGCCCCGAUCCUAUAGGGACGCACCAGCUGGGAUGGGGACCCCAAAGACAAAAAAAGGGGAAGAAAAAAAAAAAAGCCCCCACUGGGGCCACUCACCCGCUCCAGAGCCGGCAGCACCCAUGGCUAAAGGAGGGCCCCCCCCGGGUGCUGGGGUUUAUGGGGGAACUGGGAGGCGCAGCUGGGCCUCGUCCCACAAACGGGAUUAGGGUCAGGGCUGCCCUUUGCUGGCUGCUUUUCUCUGGGUUUUCCCCAUUUUGGCCCCAGAGGUGGCACCGGGGGACCCCAGACCCACUGGGGUAGGGCCCUGGGGUGCUCUGCCCGUGGGGACCCCCCCAAAAGCAGGAUUUUAGCCCCUAUUUCCCCCCCCCUAAAGACCAAACCCAUUGGGACAACGCACCAAGAGGGGGGCUGUGUGGGGCCAAAGGAGGAGGGGACACCCAGGAUAACACAGGGGAUCCCCCCGUGGUUUCUGGGCACGGGAGAGGUGACCCUAAAAGAGGGGGACCCAAAGCACCCCCCCGAGCCAGCACCUCGAGGUGGGGAACCACCGGCACCGCAGCAAUAAACCCGGCCCCAUAAAACA